RNAcentral lists this ribosomal RNA (253 nucleotides) under uncultured bacterium. RNAcentral's name for it is "partial 16S ribosomal RNA". It matches the Rfam family "Bacterial small subunit ribosomal RNA", at positions 524 to 776 of the family's 1533-position model. The record is from RNAcentral.
UACGUAGGGAGCGAGCGUUAAUCGGAAUUACUGGGCGUAAAGUGUGCGCAGGCGGCUCUGCAAGUCGAGUGUGAAAUCCCCGAGCUUAACUUGGGAAUUGCGCUCGAAACUAUGGAGCUGGAGUGUGGCAGAGGAAGGUGGAAUUCCACGUGUAGCGGUGAAAUGCGUAGAUAUCUGGAGGAACACCGGUGGCGAAGGCGGCAUCCUGGACCGGUAUUGACGCUGAGGCGCGAAAGCUAGGGGAGCAAACGGG